CCUACGGGUGGCAGCAGUGAGGAAUAUUGGUCAAUGGGCGCGAGCCUGAACCAGCCAAGUAGCGUGAAGGAUGACUGCCCUACGGGUUGUAAACUUCUUUUAUAAAGGAAUAAAGUGAGGCACGUGUGCCUUUUUGUAUGUACUUUAUGAAUAAGGAUCGGCUAACUCCGUGCCAGCAGCCGCGGUAAUACGGAGGAUCCGAGCGUUAUCCGGAUUUAUUGGGUUUAAAGGGAGCGUAGAUGGGUUGUUAAGUUAGUUGUGAAAGCUUGCGGCUCAACCGUAAAAUUGCAAUUGAUACUGGCCGUCUAGAGAACAGUUGAGGUAGGCGGAAUUCGUGGUGUAGCGGUGAAAUGCUUAGAUAUCACAAAGAACUCCGAUUGCGAAGGCAGCUUACUAAGCUGCCACUGACAUUGAUGCUCGAAAGUGUGGGGAUCAAACAGGAUUAGAUACCCCAGUAGUC
RNAcentral lists this ribosomal RNA (460 nucleotides) under uncultured bacterium. Its description in RNAcentral is "partial 16S ribosomal RNA". It matches the Rfam family "Bacterial small subunit ribosomal RNA", at positions 338 to 795 of the family's 1533-position model. The record is from RNAcentral.